GGAAGGAUCAUUACAUGGCGGAGAAGGUGGGCACCUGGCAACCCCAGGUGUGAUGCCUUCACGCUUCUCUACCCUUGUCUAUUUGCACCUUUUGUCGUUCCCUCGGCGGGUCUCGAUCCGCCGGCGGCAACAUUACAAACCUCUUGCAGUAGUAUCCAAACUCUUCUGAUCAAAAUAUCAAAUCGUUACAACUUUCAACAAUGGAUCUCUUGGUUCUGGCAUCGAUGAAGAACGCAGCGAAAUGCGAUAAGUAGUGUGAAUUGCAGAAUUCAGUGAAUCAUCGAAUCUUUGAACGCACAUUGCGCCCCUUGGUAUUCCAUGGGGCAUGCCUGUUCGAGCGUCAUUUACACCCCUCAAGCUCUGCUUGGUGUUGGGCGUCUGUCCCCUUUUUUUUCAGUGGACUCGCCCCAAAGGCAUUGGCAGCGGUCCUGUCGGGCCUCCUAAUCGCGCAGCACUGUUCGCGCUUCCUGGAGCCUGUAGCGGAUUCAGCAUCCAUCAAGCCCAAUCUUUCUUAACUUGACCUCGAAUCAGGUAGGGAUACCCGCUGAACUUAAGCAUAUCAAUAAGCGGAGGAAAAGAAACCAACUGGGAUUGCCCUAGUAACGGCGAGUGAAGCGGCAACAGCUCAAAUUUUAAAUCUGGCUCUCUUAGGGAGUCCGAGUUGUAAUUUGCAGAGGGUGCUUUGGCUUUGGUUGCGGUCUAAGUUCCUUGGAACAGGACAUCACAGAGGGUGAGAAUCCCGUAUGUGGUCGCAUUCCAUCGCCGUGUAAAGCCCCUUCGACGAGUCGAGUUGUUUGGGAAUGCAGCUCUAAAUGGGAGGUAAAUUUCUUCUAAAGCUAAAUACCGGCCAGAGACCGAUAGCGCACAAGUAGAGUGAUCGAAAGAUGAAAAGCACUUUGGAAAGAGAGUCAAACAGCACGUGAAAUUGUUGAAAGGGAAGCGCUUGCAGCCAGACUUGCCCGUCGUUGCUCAUCCCGGCUCUUGCCUGGAGCAUUCUUCGGCGGGCAGGCCAGCAUCAGUUUGGGCGGCCGGAUAAAGACCUCUGUCAUGUAUCUCUCUUCGGGGAGGCCUUAUAGGGGAGGUGUAACACGGCCAGUCCGGACUGAGGUUCGCGCAUCUGCUAGGAUGCUGGCGUAAUGGCUGUAAGCGGCCCGUCUUGAAACACGGACCAAGGAGUCUAACAUCUAUGCGAGUGUUUGGGUGUCAAGCCCGGGCGCGCAAUGAAAGUGAACGGAGGUGGGAACCCUUCGGGGUGCACCAUCGACCGAUCCUGAUGUCUUCGGAUGGAUUUGAGUAAGAGCAUAGCUGUUGGGACCCGAAAGAUGGUGAACUAUGCUUGAAUAGGGUGAAGCCAGAGGAAACUCUGGUGGAGGCUCGCAGCGGUUCUGACGUGCAAAUCGAUCGUCAAAUUUGGGCAUAGGGGCGAAAGACUAAUCGAACUAUCUAGUAGCUGGUUCCUGC
RNAcentral lists this unclassified non-coding RNA (1461 nucleotides) under uncultured Pleosporales. Its description in RNAcentral is "sequence contains 18S rRNA gene, ITS1, 5.8S rRNA gene, ITS2, 28S rRNA gene". The stretch from base 518 to 1461 matches the Rfam family "Eukaryotic large subunit ribosomal RNA", at positions 1 to 961 of the family's 3401-position model. Lineage: Eukaryota; Fungi; Ascomycota; Dothideomycetes; Pleosporales. The record is from RNAcentral.